RNAcentral lists this ribosomal RNA (274 nucleotides) under uncultured bacterium. Its description in RNAcentral is "partial 16S ribosomal RNA". It matches the Rfam family "Bacterial small subunit ribosomal RNA", at positions 523 to 796 of the family's 1533-position model. The record is from RNAcentral.
AUACAGAGGGUGCGAGCGUUAAUCGGAAUUACUGGGCGUAAAGCGCGCGUAGGCGGCUUAUUAAGUCAGAUGUGAAAUCCCCGGGCUCAACCUGGGAACUGCAUCUGAUACUGGUAAGCUAGAGUUUUGGAGAGGGAAGUAGAAUUUCAGGUGUAGCGGUGAAAUGCAUGGAGAUCUGAAGGAAUACCAGUGGCGAAGGCGACUUCCUGGCCAAAAACUGACGCUGAGGUGCGAAAGCGUGGGUAGCAAACGGGAUUAGAAACCCCAGUAGUCC